GCGGCAGGCCUAACACAUGCAAGUCGAGCGGAUGAAGGGAGCUUGCUCUNGAUUCAGCGGCGGACGGGUGAGUAAUGCCUAGGAAUCUGCCUGGUAGUGGGGGACAACGUUCCGAAAGGAGCGCUAAUACCGCAUACGUCCUACGGGAGAAAGUGGGGGAUCUUCGGACCUCACGCUAUCAGAUGAGCCUAGGUCGGAUUAGCUAGUAGGUGGGGUAAUGGCUCACCUAGGCGACGAUCCGUAACUGGUCUGAGAGGAUGAUCAGUCACACUGGAACUGAGACACGGUCCAGACUCCUACGGGAGGCAGCAGUGGGGAAUAUUGGACAAUGGGCGAAAGCCUGAUCCAGCCAUGCCGCGUGUGUGAAGAAGGUCUUCGGAUUGUAAAGCACUUUAAGUUGGGAGGAAGGGCAGUAAGUUAAUACCUUGCUGUUUUGACGUUACCAACAGAAUAAGCACCGGCUAACUUCGUGCCAGCAGCCGCGGUAAUACGAAGGGUGCAAGCGUUAAUCGGAAUUACUGGGCGUAAAGCGCGCGUAGGUGGUUUGGUAAGAUGGAUGUGAAAUCCCCGGGCUCAACCUGGGAACUGCAUCCAUAACUGCCUGACUAGAGUACGGUAGAGGGUGGUGGAAUUUCCUGUGUAGCGGUGAAAUGCGUAGAUAUAGGAAGGAACACCAG
RNAcentral lists this ribosomal RNA (677 nucleotides) under Pseudomonas citronellolis. RNAcentral describes it as "bacterial SSU rRNA". It matches the Rfam family "Bacterial small subunit ribosomal RNA", at positions 39 to 712 of the family's 1533-position model. Lineage: Bacteria; Pseudomonadati; Pseudomonadota; Gammaproteobacteria; Pseudomonadales; Pseudomonadaceae. The record is from RNAcentral.